GAUGAACGCUAGCUACAGGCUUAACACAUGCAAGUCGAGGGGUAACGAGAGGAAAGCUUGCUUUCCUUGUCGACGACCGGCGCACGGGUGAGUAACGCGUAUCCAACCUGCCCCCUACUAGGGAAUAACCUUGCGAAAGUAAGACUAAUACUCUAUAAUUUCCUCAGAUGCCAUCUGACGAGGAAUAAAGAUUUAUCGGUUGUGGAUGGGGAUGCGUCUGAUUAGCUUGUUGGCGGGGUAACGGCCCACCAAGGCAACGAUCAGUAGGGGUUCUGAGAGGAAGGUCCCCCACAUUGGAACUGAGACACGGUCCAAACUCCUACGGGAGGCAGCAGUGAGGAAUAUUGGUCAAUGGGCGGAAGCCUGAACCAGCCAAGUAGCGUGCAGGAUGACGGCCCUAUGGGUUGUAAACUGCUUUUAUACAGGAAUAAAGUUAGCCACGUGUGGUUAUUUGUAGGUACUGUAUGAAUAAGGACCGGCUAAUUCCGUGCCAGCAGCCGCCGUAA
Molecule: ribosomal RNA, 506 nt
Filed under: uncultured bacterium
Lineage: Bacteria
Description: partial 16S ribosomal RNA
Rfam family: Bacterial small subunit ribosomal RNA
Source: RNAcentral